RNAcentral lists this non-coding RNA (189 nucleotides) under Brevibacillus laterosporus. RNAcentral's name for it is "Lysine sequence". It matches the Rfam family "Lysine riboswitch aptamer". Rfam says of the family: Riboswitches are metabolite binding domains within certain messenger RNAs that serve as precision sensors for their corresponding targets. Allosteric rearrangement of mRNA structure is mediated by ligand binding, and this results in modulation of gene expression. RNAcentral also lists the same sequence under 1 other name. Lineage: Bacteria; Bacillati; Bacillota; Bacilli; Caryophanales; Paenibacillaceae. The record is from RNAcentral.
UGGUGAGGUAGAGGUUGCGGUAUUUAAGAGUAUGCUGGACGAGACCCAGAGAUGUUGUAGACUCCAUCAGAAAGGAAAGACCGCCGAAGCUUGUACAAAGACUCUGUGAUGUACAGGCUGGGGCUGUUUCCGAAAGGGACAGAACUGUCACGUUUAUUUGCCGAAUAAGCGUGUUGUGCUAUCUUCAUG